CAGGCUGUUCCUUUAAAGUAAGGGUCAGCACACUUUUUCUUUAAAUGUCCAGAUGGUUAAAUACUUUAGGCUUUGCAGGCCCUAAUGUCUCUGCUGCAACGCCUCAGCUCUGUUGUUGAAAGCGCAAAAGCAGAAAUGGGCAAAUGCGUAGAUGAAUAAGCAUGUCUGGGUCUCAAUAAAACUUUAUUUACACCAACAGGCAGUAGGCCAGAUUUGGCCCAUGGGUUACUACCAACCUCUGCUUUGCCAGCCUCUGCUUUAAAAGGAUGGGGCAUGGGGCCACCUGGCUGGCUCAGCCAGGGGAGUGUGUGACUCUUGACUUGGGGGUCGUGAGUUCGAGCUCCACGUUGGGUGUAGAGAUUACUUAAAAUAAAUAAGUAAUUAAAAAACAAUAAAUAAAAGGAUGGGGGCACGCCAUCCCUUUCUCUCUAGUUGGAAUGUGGGUGUGUCGGCUGGAGCUGGAGUAACUACUUUGGACCACGGUGUUCAAGUCCUUUGUUGAAAAUGGUGGAGAAAAAUGGUAGGAGUUUGAGUCCCUCAGUCUGUGGAGCCACGUACCCGCUCCGCACUGCUCAUGGUGACUGUUGCGUUUGGGGAGGACUAAGCGCAUCUUUUGUCCAUCACUCGUGGUUUGGGUCUUGCAAUGGCCACCAUAUUAAUAGCUUAGCUCCCUUAUUUCAGAGACCCUAAGGGGCCGUCAGAUACACAUUGUGCAAUCAUUUCACGUGUCACUAAGAAACAAGACCACCGCUGUGCCUCUUAUUAAGCUUUGUUUCUCCACUCCAGAUCCACUCUGCCAUAUUGUGCUUUGUGAUGACAGCACUAGAGACCUGUGAACUACACCGCGCCUUUGCCUGCUGGCCAGCUUCCACCACUCAGGGUCAUUGGAGGGAAACAAGAAGGCGGGAGGAGGGAGAAGGGACUUGCUCCUUCCUCUUUGCUUCCCGUUCUUACUACUGUCCGGAGCACUGGCUCCUCUCCCAGGCGGCAGCCCUUGGUUCCAGCCUCCAGCUUUCCUCGGGACCUCAGAACUGGAUGCAUCAUAUGCCUCGAGAGGAACUUAAGUUACCUGCAUAGAAGCUUCGCAGAUCGGUGUCCAAACAGUUCUCCAGGAAGCGCCUCAGAGACGCGCAUGGACUGAGGGCCACGGUGAUUGCUUCAGAACUGCUCUUUCUCUGAGGAGACUCGGAGGCCCCGCGAGAAGGGUCUGGGGGCUCAUCUAGUCCAGCCUCCCACCUGGUGUGGACUCCCUUCAGUGGUGUCCCGGGCAGACAGCCAUUAAGUCGCGACUCGACCAUCCUCGUACUGGGAAACUCGAUGUCCGGGGGUGACCCAUUUCACUGCUGGACAGCUUUGAGUAGGAGUCACUCCUGAUUCUGAAUAGAAGCCUGCACUCCUGUCACUUUGACCUGCUGAUACUACCUCUGCCUGUUUUUAGAAUACCUCUUCCCAGGGACAGCUCUUUAGUUUCUGGGGCAGGAAUCACAUUCCCCAGGGGGGAGGGGGGUUCAUCUGUUGGUAGCUACUCUGUGCCAAGCACCGUGCUGACAUCCU
Molecule: long non-coding RNA, 1554 nt
Organism: Leopardus geoffroyi (Geoffroy's cat)
Lineage: Eukaryota; Metazoa; Chordata; Mammalia; Carnivora; Felidae
Exons: 3
Source: RefSeq, a predicted model, not a curated record